Long non-coding RNA from Bos taurus (domestic cattle), 1831 nucleotides. The record is from Ensembl. Lineage: Eukaryota; Metazoa; Chordata; Mammalia; Artiodactyla; Bovidae.
AGUGGGUCAGGCGUCAGAGGCGGGGGCUGGGCUUUCAGCCUCAGUGCCGUCCAGGGGGAAUGCCCAGAUGGUUCCCCCGUAUCCCACUCCUCUCUCUCUCCCCUGGCACACGUGGCGGGGGGUGGUUACUUCUCCCCAUCCUCUCAAAGCUGGGCAGGGUGCUAGCUAGCAUUAGUUCUGGCCAGUGGGUUGUGGGCAGGAGUGCUCUGUGUCACUUUCAGGCUUGAGCACUUGUCCGCUGGACCCCCCAGCUGUGCUCCUCACCGCAAUCACAGAAAUCUGGUCUAGACGAGUUUCCUCAGAUGGGUUUCUGAAUAACCUCAGUGAAAGAAACCUCCAGCCAGCUAGCUUUGGGCAUGGAGAUGCAAGAAAUGAAUCGUUAUAGUAUUAAGCCCCUGAGGGUGUGGGGGUUGUUUGUUACAACAGCACCAUCCGGCCUAACCUACUGAUAAGAGGCUCCAUCAACCAAGUUGCUCAACGUUGGGAUCCAGGGACCUAUGGCCUCAGAAUCACAUGGAGCAGCUCUGUUAAAAAAUGCAGGUUCUCAGGCUCUGCCCCAGAUACCCGGAGUCAGAAAGCCCAGGGAUGAGGCCCCCAGAUUACAGUGACUUCAUCUCCAAGGGCAGCAAGUGUACAUCCCACGCCUGGGGAGUGUUAGGGAAGCCCUCUGCUCCUGCUGGGGGCUUCGCUGGCUCAGAUGGUAAAGAGUCUGCCCGCAAUGCAGGAGACUCAGGUUCAAUCCCUGGAUCAGGAAGAUCCCCGGAAGGAAGGCAUAGCAACCCACUCCAGUAUUCUGGCCUGGAGAAUCCCCAUGGACAGAGGAGCCUGGCUGGCUACAGUCCAUGGGGUUGCAGAGUCGGACACAACUGAGCAACUAACCCCUCUGUUCCCACCACCUCAUUUGCUUCCUCUGGGUCUGAAGCAGGUGUGCUCUCUGGUCGGGGCUGGGUUCUCCAGGUACUACCAGGCUCAAGGCCUGAGAGGUCCCUGCCCUGGGCUUCCUGCCGCCUCUCUCCUCCCACCUGGCAGCGAAGCAACUCCCCUGGGCCAGGCGCUGGGGGAAGGGCUCACAGAGGGAGAGCGAUAGAAACCCUCCGUGAUGGAUUGAAGGAGACGAGACCAUUCCCGGCUGGCGGAGGAGUUGCGGCUGCAGUGACAGGUGGCGAUGUUUGUGCUCUGAACCUGCAAUCUCAGCUAAUGGGAGAGAUUGAGGAGUUUGGAAUGAGACACGGCGUGGGCCACAGCCCCACGGGCCAAGAUGCUGCUGGCAUAGGCCGCGUGGCUUCGUGGGGUUCCUGAAGGAGGGAGUGGGUGCCACAUUCCUGGGCAGGGGAGAGAAUGUCUUUGGCUGCCUAUGAGUGUCAGGAGGACCAAGCUGGAGCAGCAGCAACCACUGAAAAUCCAGCUUCUUGAACCUCUUGCGACCACUGUAAAGAAUGUAGUAUGAGCCAGCGCUGAAGAUGUGAACUACCUCAGGAGGAGUAUUUUAUCACUGCUGCUGCUGCUAAGUCACUUCAGUCGUGUCUGACUCUGUGCGAUCCCACAGACAGCAGCCCACCAGGCUCCCCCAUCCCUGGGAUUCUCCAGGCAAGAACACUGGAGUGGGUUGCCAUUUCCUUCUCCAAUGCAUGAAAGUGAAAACGUGAAAGUGAAGUCACUCAGUCGUGUCCGACUCUUAGCGACCCCACAGACUGCAGCCUACCAGGCUCCUCCGCCCAUGGGAUUUUCCAGGCAAGAGUAUUGGAGUGGGUUGCCAUUGCCUUCUCUGAUUUUAUCACUGGUAUAGUUUAAAAUCACUAGAGCAUGUUAAUAAUAAAAAGCAGGCUGACUU